Molecule: ribosomal RNA, 253 nt
Filed under: uncultured bacterium
Lineage: Bacteria
Description: partial 16S ribosomal RNA
Rfam family: Bacterial small subunit ribosomal RNA
Source: RNAcentral
GACGAACCGUGCGAACGUUGUUCGGAAUCACUGGGCUUAAAGGGCGCGUAGGCGGGCUGACAAGUCUGGGGUGAAAUCCCGCGGCUCAACCGAGGAACUGCAUCCGAUACUGGCGGGCUUGAAUCCGGGAGAGGGAUGUGGAAUUCCAGGUGUAGCGGUGAAAUGCGUAGAUAUCUGGAGGAACACCGGUGGCGAAGGCGGCAUCCUGGACCGGUAUUGACGCUGAGGCGCGAAAGCUAGGGGAGCAAACGGG